UCAUUUAUUAUAGCAUUUACUAAGUACUUAACACUGUGCUUGGUGGUGUGCUGGGCUCUAGGAAGAAAAAAAAAUUAGAGGCCAAAGCUCCUCAUAAAAGCAGACAGGUGGAUAAUGGAUUGACCCUCUAAUUACAGUUGAUGAAUGGAAGGGCCAGCAUGUAAACCCAGUUCUUUUACUCUCCGAGGUUGAGAAGGAACAUCGUGCACAGAUAUGGAAAGCACAGGCUUGAAGGCCUCUGGAGAAGAGAUGGGGCAGGAGAAUGAGGGAACCGGAGGAAGAAUCUGCUGACAGCCCAGGA
Molecule: long non-coding RNA, 301 nt
Organism: Molossus molossus (Pallas's mastiff bat)
Lineage: Eukaryota; Metazoa; Chordata; Mammalia; Chiroptera; Molossidae
Exons: 3
Source: RefSeq, a predicted model, not a curated record